CGGCCCGCGUUAGAUUAGUUAGUUGGUGGGGUAAUGGCCUACCAAGACUACGAUCUAUAGCUGGUUUGAGAGGAUGAUCAGCAACACUGGGACUGAGACACGGCCCAGACUCCUACGGGAGGCAGCAGUGGGGAAUCUUAGACAAUGGGGGCAACCCUGAUCUAGCGAUGCCGCGUGAGUGAUGAAGGCCUUAGGGUCGUAAAGCUCUUUCGCCUGUGAUGAUAAUGACAGUAGCAGGUAAAGAAACCCCGGCUAACUCCGUGCCAGCAGCCGCGGUAAUACGGAGGGGGUUAGCGUUGUUCGGAAUUACUGGGCGUAAAGCGCACGUAGGCGGAUUAGUCAGUCAGAGGUGAAAUCCCAGGGCUCAACCCUGGAACUGCCUUUGAUACUGCUAGUCUUGAGUUCGAGAGAGGUAAGUGGAAUUCCGAGUGUAGAGGUGAAAUUCGUAGAUAUUCGGAGGAACACCAGUGGCGAAGGCGGCUUACUGGCUCGAUACUGACGCUGAGGUGCGAAAGUGUGGGGAGCAAACAGGAUUAGAUACCCUGGUAGUCCACACCGUAAACGAUGAAUGCCAGUCGUCGGGUAGCAUGCUAUUCGGUGACACACCUAACGGAUUAAGCAUUCCGCCUGGGGAGUACGGUCGCAAGAUUAAAACUCAAAGGAAUUGACGGGGGGCCCCGCACAAGCGGUGGGAGCAUGUGGUUUUAUUUCGAAAGCAAC
RNAcentral lists this ribosomal RNA (720 nucleotides) under Celeribacter sp. Its description in RNAcentral is "bacterial SSU rRNA". It matches the Rfam family "Bacterial small subunit ribosomal RNA", at positions 227 to 960 of the family's 1533-position model. The record is from RNAcentral. Lineage: Bacteria; Pseudomonadati; Pseudomonadota; Alphaproteobacteria; Rhodobacterales; Roseobacteraceae.